AGAGGUGUAGCUCAGUGGUAGAGCACUUGCCUAGCAUCCUGGGUUCCAUUCCCAGUACCACAA
Molecule: transfer RNA, 63 nt
Filed under: Heterocephalus glaber (naked mole-rat)
Lineage: Eukaryota; Metazoa; Chordata; Mammalia; Rodentia; Bathyergidae
Rfam family: tRNA
About the family: Transfer RNA (tRNA) molecules are approximately 80 nucleotides in length.
Source: Rfam by way of RNAcentral